This 98-nucleotide ribosomal RNA is filed under the name uncultured fungus. Its description in RNAcentral is "partial 5.8S ribosomal RNA". It matches the Rfam family "5.8S ribosomal RNA", at positions 63 to 154 of the family's 154-position model. From Rfam's summary of the family: 5.8S ribosomal RNA (5.8S rRNA) is a component of the large subunit of the eukaryotic ribosome. It is transcribed by RNA polymerase I as part of the 45S precursor that also contains 18S and 28S rRNA. The record is from RNAcentral. Lineage: Eukaryota; Fungi.
UAAUGUGAAUUGCAGAAUUCAGUGAAUCAUCGAAUCUUUGAACGCACCUUGGCGCCCUUAUGGCUAUUCCGAAGAGGCAUGCCUGUUUGAGUAUCAUG